CUGCCUACAUACCCUGUGAAGGGAUCAAACCACUGUAGUUCAUAUCCAAUUUUACUCAACGGGUAUGUAUUUCGAACUCGUCGAGAGAACACAUUUUUUUGUGGACACCCGAUUUUAAUGGAGCGUCCGUUGAUUUGAUCUGGGGACCCAAUGUACUGAGGUUUGCAGCAGGCCUUGAAAUUUGGAAUGGGCUUUGGGCUGCAAAUUAAUCGGGCCCGAACUUCUGAGGUGAAUUGAUUUAGACACCCGUUGUGUUGAGCUUCUGAGGUUGGGCUCUGUGACUUGAGAUGGGCUUUGCAGAGCUCCAAAACUUGUAUACGAGUGAUUUGCAAUGCAUAAACUGAUUUGGACACCCAUUAAUACAGCCCUAUUGAGCCCAGCUCACGUCUUCAAGGUUCUGAUCCCAAAAGGAAGACGUCAUCUCCAUUCGAUAAGCUUCAGAUCCUCUGUGAGACCUCUUUGGCGUAAUCAUCAGAUAGAGAUCAAUUUCAAGAUGAGGAUUAACUAUUUUAAUUUGAUCUGGAGAGGGAGUCAUAUCGCUGAAGUCCAUAUAAAUGGGUUGGCUCAAGUGCCUAGAUUCCCCAUUCGUUCUCUUUCGCGCACCAAAUCAGAGGCCUUGAUUUCUUACCCCUGUUCGCGAAACGCAUCUGUCAGAGCUAUUGGUGUCGAAACCAGAACUGGUGAGAAAACAUCCUUUCGACCCAAUUGAGAUUCAAAUGUGUUCAAUUAUAUUUGACUCUGACAAACAUAUGUGUGAAGCUAUCUGCAUAUUUUAGACAUAUCUCCACCGCCAAGCCUCGUGGCUCCUUGAGAAGUGACCUCUGCUUCUUCAAUUAGAUGCAAUUGCCGCAUGCCUCUUGAUCUUUUAUUUUUGCCUCAAUUAUGCAUAUUCUGAAGCUUCUGCUCUGCUGCAAAUAAGUGGAAUAAGCUUCCAUUUCUCUUUUUGCGUAGCCGUGACCAUGAAACCAAAAGCAAGGACUUCAUUUUCCUUUCUUGCUGAUCAUGAGAUUGCUUUUCCAUCUUGCAGACACAAUUUUGAAGAAAAGCAUUGCAGGCGGUGUUCAAACCAUUGCAACAAACAUAAUUUUGAAGGAAGACGUUGCAGCUUGACCACAUCUUUUCUAGGAGUUAAUAAACAUUGCUGCCACUAUCUUGUGCCAAGUAACAGGAACCAGACGACUCCCAUCUCUCUUGUAUUUCGUGGCUGCAGUUUAGUGAUCGAGGGUGAGCCGAACCGAGCGCUUUGCAGGCUUGUGGCUGGAGGUAGGCACCCUUUUAUAGAGAGAUGGCCACUUCACUUUCAAGGCAGCAUUUUGAUGAUGACUUUGAUGCAGGUGGAUAACUUGGGGCUGAAACUCUACACGGGGAUCAUCUUGGAGCAGCUUCCCUACUGUUGUGAACUCGGGAACUUUGCAGAACCGUACUCGGUGUGAACUGGUAACCCCGAGGCGUUCACUUGACAUACUUAUUUUUGCCACCCAUAUGCAGGACGCACCGCGAUACAGGCAUCAAAAACAAGCAUGGUGAACCCCCUUGAUCUUGAAGCUUGCUUCCGCCACCUAUACGCAGGACGCACCGCAGUAUAGGCAUCGAAAGCAAGUGCAGCAUGGAGUGACACCACGGCUGUGAAUGAGGGCUUGAUGUCGACUUUGUGUCUUGCUCGGAAGCCGUUGGUGAGAUUUGUGAGGAUGACAGCAACGAGGGACUUUUGGAGAGAGGAUAGGCCAUCAACUUCUUGUUUGGAGUGUUCAUAGUCUUACAUGAUCACCUAUUUAGCUUUCUGUAAUCAUAUAAUGUAGAACAAAGAGAACACUUGAGUGAAAAUGAUAAUUGACAACAUAUAGAAGAAAUUAUACCCAC
Molecule: long non-coding RNA, 1860 nt
Organism: Rosa rugosa (rugosa rose)
Lineage: Eukaryota; Viridiplantae; Streptophyta; Magnoliopsida; Rosales; Rosaceae
Exons: 3
Source: RefSeq, a predicted model, not a curated record